RNAcentral lists this small nuclear RNA (105 nucleotides) under Aotus nancymaae (Ma's night monkey). The record is from RNAcentral. Lineage: Eukaryota; Metazoa; Chordata; Mammalia; Primates; Aotidae.
UUACUUCAGCAGCAUAUACUUUAAAAUUGGAUCAACAGCGGAUAAGCAUAAGCAUGGCUGCUGCCUCAGGAUGGCACACAAAUUCAUAGAGCAUUCCAUAUUUUG